RNAcentral lists this long non-coding RNA (466 nucleotides) under Helianthus annuus (common sunflower). Its description in RNAcentral is "sRNA HanXRQr2_Chr11g0508921". Lineage: Eukaryota; Viridiplantae; Streptophyta; Magnoliopsida; Asterales; Asteraceae. The record is from RNAcentral.
AUGCAGCCAUUCAAUACUUCUGGUGGAGAUACCCAUGGGCUUUUAACUGCUGCGAGCUGAAAACUAAGAGCUAUGUAUGGGAAGAUGGAUGAUAUUAUCGACGUGAUGAAGAAGUAAAUGGUUGAUUUGGUUAGGAACUGUAACCUAUAUAUGUGUUUUGAUGAAGAACACGUGCACAAAUUUAGAAAUAUGUAAUGUCGAUUCAACAAACGCCGUUGCCAAAAUUGAUGCAUCUAAAGUCGUUGCAAAGGUAUAAGCGGAAGAGGUAAUUGCUUCCAUAAGUUUGUCUCUGAUCAAGUUAUAGAUUGAAUGUGUUUUUCUUUGAUAUCUACUUCGCUGCAAGUUCUCGGUUCUCUUUGUUCGCGGUCUCCUCCAAUCAGUUGCAAAGUGUUCGUGGAAAGCAAUGGUCUAGAAUAAAAGCUUAUGAAAUCAAGCCCAUGUCAAGUCAUUUUCUACUCUGGAGAGA